This is a long non-coding RNA of Amphiprion ocellaris (clown anemonefish), 3706 nucleotides long. RefSeq lists it as uncharacterized. The transcript has 4 exons. The record is from RefSeq and is a predicted model, not a curated record. Lineage: Eukaryota; Metazoa; Chordata; Actinopteri; Pomacentridae.
CUGGGGCUCUCCACUCUCUCCUCUCCUCACCAUCAGGACCUGCCAUUGGAUUCCAUUCAAAAAAAACUCCCAUCUUCCCUUAUUCCCUCCGCCCCUACCUCUCAGCUUUUUCUCUGUUGCCUAUCUUGUUUUUGUUUUUUUAUGGUCUUUCCUAUUACGUCACCUGCCCGCCACCUCCAUCCUCAAGAUGGGAAUUUUUCUAAUUUCUAUUGAUUUUUCCUGCAGAUGAAGCGAGAAAAGCUGACCCUGUCCCAUAGGUUUUUGUGGUCAGGGAGCACACCUCUUUCUUUUUUCUUUUUUUGUUCUCCAGCUCUCCCUCCUGACUGCCUCUCUGUGGAUAUCAUUCCUGAUUCUGCACAUGCAAAUGAUACAGGAAGAAGGGAGGGAGGAGGGGGUGGCUUCACUCGGAUUCAUCGCCCCCCCUCCUCCUGCUCCUCCUCUUCGUCUUCUUCUUCUUUUCCCUGGGUGGAGCAGGAGUGGGCUGGUGAGCCGAAGCACGCUGAGAAACCACGGGCAUGGGGUCUCAUUAGUCUUUCUUUCACCAUCGAUUACAAGUGUGUGACAGGUUCCAGACGGGUUGAGAGGGGAGAACAAUGUGUUGUGACCCUCAGUACCGCCCUCCAGCUCAGCGCCUGGCUUCGACUCCUUCUCCCAGCAGGCCGUGGGGGGCCUGGCCGCCGCCCCUCUGCCUCCUCUCCCCUCUCCCCCGCCUCCACCACCACCACCAGAAUCAAUCGCUCUGCGACACCAUACAAACGAUCCACUGAAGUCCAUGCAUCACAGUACAGUGCACCACCAACAAUGACCAGCCAUGUGGCUCAGCAGUGAGAGAGAAUAAGAUGGAGAGUUAUUACGGUGACGAGGGGGGAACCGUGAAGGGAGACCACUUCCGCUGACAUCAGGACGACGCCAUGAAGUCCAGAUUAACUGGCGACAGGACUGUUCGCUCUGAGUGAUACCUCCACAUGGAAAGUAUAACAAAACUGUCAGGUAAGUCUGCUUUUUCAUCCUUGGUAAGGAAGUGUUAUUAUCACUUUCUAAUUUACCAUCUAAAUUAUGUGGCUUUGCACCUCUUUUUUGUGCUGCAGUUUAAUACUUAUCCAGGGAGUCAUGUGAACAGUAAGUUCUCUCUCUAAUUUCCCCACUCAAUGACUUUAUGAGUGAACAGGUAAUGCAUCAUUCUUCUCAUUGACUAAUGUUCUGGUUCAUUUUGUCCUUUCCGCUUCGCCAUCGCCCGCCGUGCAACACUGAUUAAUGCCAUCACAGCAAAUUAGAUAGCCGAGGAACAACAUGUUUAUCAUUUUCAAGCAUUAAGAAAAGUACUUUCUUGCUUCGUUUCCUUCAGCACAUUCAAAGCAGUGGCCACAUCAAGGUGAUGUAUGCGUAGGCAGCAUAGAGGAGGAAAUAUUAAUUGGAAUGUAGGCAGAGUGGUGGCCUCUCUUUUAUAGGUUGUUAGACAGAGGACGAGGGCUGAGGGUAACCUACGUCCACGUACUGACGCUGUUCUUUACUGUGCACUCUAAGAGAAACCGACUUUGAAUGGAAAAUGUUUUCACUGAGCCUCUGCUGAAAGUGCAAAUGUUAAAUGUUGUCAGUUGUCUUCUUGAUCGCUUAUAGCAUCAAGAGGUAUUUUAAAAGCAUACUUGAACUCCAACUAAGCUGGCUGAGUCUCCAGAGCUGUGUUGCAGUUCAUUGAACUCGAUUUAUUGCUGCAUCCACAGGGUGAAAGUAUAAUGGUUUACUUGUGAAAAACCCAAUGUAAACUCUGCAUAGUGACCUCAUUUGUUGUCAGACAGGAUGAAGUGUUUGGCACAGCAACAGGCUAACAGCUGCCGGAAAUUUACCAGCAAUUAUAAGGAUCAGUUGUCUGUCUGGCUGGAUACUGUUAUUUUAUUCUUUAGGUAACUUACAUUGUUGUCUUUAAUAACUCAUCAUCUUUGGCUAACUGUUGUCACAUUUACAAGACUUCUGAUUCAAUAUUCACUGUCAUCAUACAAUUUUAUGGCAGGAGGCGGGAUAAUAAGCUGUAAAUACAACAUAUUGAUAUUAUUAUUCUACAAAGUUGCCAUGAAAAAGACCCUUUUUUAUACAUCCAGCAGGUACAUUGACUAACUUCAGUAUUUGUUUUAUGUUUCCUGCCAUCUGACAAAUGAUUAUUCAAUAUUCACCUUUCUUUCUGCCCCGUUUUGAUCUCCACCAGUGCGUGACACUUAGAUAAUUAGCCACUAAACUGCUCAAGCUCCACUGUUCAGCCGCUAGUUGAUAACUUCAUCUGUUACUACUGAGCUAGUUUUUUUAAAAAAAAGAGGUACUUCCUGACAGCUGCUGCUGUAAUUUUGUUGUUAAUUUGUUUGUUUUUAUAGGUAUGUUAAGCUAGUUUGAGACCAGAAUCUUGGCUGACUGAAUCACAGUAGCACAGCUGGAGGCCCUAAAAUCAGAAUAGUUAGCUUAAAGACAGUACAGUUUGGUCAUAGAUCUGUAUUAAGGUAUUUGAUCUACUGCCUGUAUGUAAAUAUUACCUAGUGUAGCUUUAACAUUAAUGUAUUUAAAAUUUUUAUUGUAUUCUUUUGUUUCUUUUUAUCUAACUAUGUAACCAGGACUGCAUUUGAAAACUAGAAAAGCACUCCAAGAGCGCUGUACUCCGCCAAGGCUACUCAUUCUCCUAUAUGGCAUUGUCAGAAAUGCAACUUUUUUUUGUAGAAAUGCAGCAUUUGUUUAUUAGUUAUUGAUGAUCAUAAAUCACGGCACCAUAGAAUGUGGCCAUUUAAUAUAGAUGUUCCCACAAACAAAAUGACCUGCGCUGAGCACAGGCGUGUAUGAUGCAUGUGUAUGUUAUGUACGGAUACAGAAUCGCCUAAGUAUGUAGUGAGUGGCGGGAAUCGAUGGGACUCAGAAACACCCCCACAAUUUCAUCAAUUGUUCCUUGUAUCAUUUCAAACGGAUAAGUCCGCAGUGGUCCAUUUGUAGUAGGAUCGCUGUCAGGCUGGCAGCUGCCAGAGCUAGAUAGUGCUCCGUCUCCCUCUUUCUCCUCCUCUUUUUCCUUUUUAGGUGUUCCUGGAAGUAAUUGCUGCGCCAGGUGUUUCACAUCACCCUCAUCAGCUGGUUCAGGAGCAGGUGGAACGCUGCCAAUCAGACCUCACUCUCUCAGCAUUUAAGCAGACGCUACUCACCUCUCGGUGCCGGAUUGUGAUACAGCCUUUUUGGAUCUACCUGCUCCUGCCUGGUCUCACCUGGAUUCUUCGCCGUCUUCCUCACUCGGGGUUGAUUCAUCACAGCCGUUCCUUGGCGUCCACUUCAUACCUACCGGCUGUCUCAAGUUCUCCCUGGUUUCCGUUCACAUGAGGUCCUCCUGCGUGAGCCCAGUCCGAGCAUCAGCCUAGUUUCAGUCUGAGAUGAGUUUAUCAAAGUUAUUCUGAGUAGCAUUAUUGUGCCCUUUGGUUACUUUGGUUACCCUUUGGUUUAGUUAGAGUCUCUAGACGAGUGCGUUGGAGUCUAUUGUUUUGUUAGGAUUAAAAGCUUUGUAGUUUUAGUGAAGUUUUGUGAAAACCUUCUUGCCUGAGUAUUACCCACAGUGAGUAGCGUCUUUAGUUGUUGUAGGUCCGCCUCACCACUAGUAGUAUUAGAGUGCUCAUCCUGAGUAUAGUAUUGACCGUUUUGAUCCUUGUUUUGGUCUGUAGUAAAAUCCGUUUGUAAAUAAACUCUGUUA